Small nucleolar RNA from Hydra vulgaris (swiftwater hydra), 95 nucleotides. RefSeq annotates it as small nucleolar SNORD12/SNORD106. The record is from RefSeq and is a predicted model, not a curated record. Lineage: Eukaryota; Metazoa; Cnidaria; Hydrozoa; Anthoathecata; Hydridae.
AACGAAGGAUAUGAUGAUCAUUCUUUUUUCCCCAACUUAUCGACAAUGAUGAGGAAAAUAGCUGAUCUAUAAGCCAGAUGGUCUGAUCCUUAUAU